Molecule: transfer RNA, 66 nt
Filed under: Mephitis mephitis (striped skunk)
Lineage: Eukaryota; Metazoa; Chordata; Mammalia; Carnivora; Mephitidae
Description: tRNA-Pro
Source: RNAcentral
CAGGGAGUAGUUUAGUUAGAAUAUCAGCUUUGGGUGUUGAUGGCGGGGUUGUUUACCUUCUCCUUG